AAGUAAUGAACAUGGCAUCAAAGCAAAUAGCAAGUCGCCGAGAAGGGGCUGAGAUCUACCAUGGAGCGGCUCUUUGCAAGCAAAAAGCGCAUGAGCUCCUCGACCACUUCCAUCUGCCAAAAGGGUUAAUGCCUUUGAGCAACCUCGUCGAGGUCGGGUUCAACCGGACCACAGGCUUCAUCUGGCUGAAACAGAACAAGACUUUCAAGUAUUGGUUCAAGUCCCUUGGAGCCUCCUCAUAUGGUCCCGAGAUUACAGCGUUUAUUGAGGAUGGUCGGAUGCGGAAGUUGACAGGCAUCAAAAGCAAGGAGAUGAUGAUCUGGAUUACUCUUUCUGAUAUUUAUGUGGAUGAUGCUGAUCCAACCAAAAUCACUUUUGCUACUCCCAUGGGAUUGUCAAAGAGUUUUCCGGUGACUGCAUUUGAAGAGGAGGCAGAAGAGAUGAAAUAAUUUUGUUUCCCACUGACUAGUAAAUUGUUGAAAAUAAUAUAUCAUGGUAAAGAUUUUAAAUUUUAUUAACGGAAUUAAAAGAUUGUCACAUAAGUAACAUGGGCAAUAGUUUAACUUCCUUUAAUAAAUUUUAAAAAUACUUGCUGAUAUAUAUGGAAUAAUAAUCAAAUAAUGUAAUGAAUAUUUGUGGAUUUAUAUUGUUUGUUUUGAAUUUAAUAAAAUUAUGUGUCCCAUUUGGUUGAUAUACUUGAUAUUGAAUUCUUUGUAUUUGGUUGAUACACUUAUAUUAGAUUAUUUGUUUUCUAUUUUUUUAUAUUAAUUAUAAUUCUUGUUUGUAAAUGGAAUAAAUCUUAUUAACAUUUAUAACAAUAAAAUAUUUUUACUGGAAAUCAUUUAAUGAAAUUAUAAUUUUUAUUUAUCAAUUGGAUAAAUUUUAUUCAUAUUUUUAAUAAAAGCAUUUAAAAUGAUAAUUUAAAAUUGUAAUGAAUAAAUAUAUAACUUCAAUUUAUUCAGUUAAAUGUUUUACCAAUUCCUGUUCUUUUAUUUAUAUAAAUAAAUAUAUAUGUAUACAAAUUAGAAGAAAUUAGAACAAAGGGUAAUAAUGGUUAUGCUUUGAACUAUUGGCUAUGUUGGUCUCUUGAAAGCAAAUUAAGUCUUUCCAUGAAGGGUUCUUGAUGCUUAAUUCAGCUACUCAGAUGCAAAACCGGACCAACUACAAUACAAAUGGAAGUUAAUUAAGGCUCCGUUUAAUUGUUACUUUUACUUUUAUUUUUCUUAAAAUAAAAAUAAAAAUUAAAUUUGAAAUAAAAGACAAUAGCAAAAGGAAAAAAAAAAAAUUAUCAGCGUCUAAAAGAUUAGUUGAAAUUUGAAAAAAAAAAAAAAGAAAAUUGGGAAGGAGAUAGGAAUUUUUUUUAAAAAAAAAAAAGUAUAGUUCAAUAUUUUGGUAUUUAGCCAAAAAAAAAAUUUAGACGGUAUCGUUUUCUUUUUUUUUUUUUUGAUGAAAAUAAUUUUUUAUUAUUAUUAUUAUUAUUAGUAUUAUUAUUUGUAUGAAAAUACUAUAUUGCUUAAUAGUUAGAAAACUUAGAAACACCCUUUUUAUUUGUUUUAUUUCAUUCCAAAUAAACAUAUUUAAAAGUCGAACUAUUUGUCUAAGUUUAAAGAUCCAUCUAAGUUUAAAGAGAGUGAACAAAAAAUUAAAACUCGUUAAAUGAAUUUAAGUAUAAUUUUAAAGUCCAUUUAAAUUUUAGGUUGAAUCUUAAAUAAAAAAAUUAAAGCCUAGGCUCAGCUGAAUCUAAAUAAAAUAUAUAAUUAAAAUAUUAUAAUUAUAUGAGUAUAUAUAUGUGAAUUUUUAUUUUAAUAUUUUAUUUAAAAAUAAUUUUUUUAUUUUUUAUUAUAUAAAUUAAAUUUCAUAGGUGAAUUUGAAAUUUUUUUUUUAAUUUAGGCCGAACUUUGAAAAAAUUUUAAAGUCUAAAUAUUGGAUCAAACUUAAAUAAAUAAAUAAGCUAUUAAUACUAAGUAUGAAUCUGAUUCAACUCAAACUUGACUUAUGAACAUCUCUAAUUCCAACAAAAUAAGGGCAAAUUAAAAAUGUUUUCGUACUUAGGUUUUUUACUAUUCUUAAUUCAUCUUGUUUCAAAAAACAAACAAUAGUGAUAGAAAUAUAAAUACUCAAGAUCACAUCUCACGCAAUGGAUAUUUAUUUUUUUAAUUAUUUUAAUAUUGAAAUAUAAAAAAAUUAAAUUAUAACAAUAAUUUUAAAUUAAUAAUAUAAGAAAUUAUAUUUAAAAAAUUAUAGUAAGAAAAAGUUUGCUAUAUUAUUGACUUAUAAUUAUCCUUUUUUUAUGGAGAUUCUUCGCAGAAUAGAUCUUAAGCAAUGUAGCUUGUGUUGUUGAGUCAUCAAAAUAAUUUGAUUUAUGUGUAUUUAUAUUAUUUAAUAAAUAUAUUAAACUUGAAUUAUAUUAAAUACUAUGUACAUUUAUCCAUAAUUAAUUAAAUUUAUUAAUAUUAUAAAUUCAUGAAUGAUUAAGUUCGUAAAUAUUUAUAUUCAUUUUGGAUUUGAUUCAUAAUUAAUUAAUAGUAAAUAUAAAUUUAGUUUCAAAAUUUUAAAUGAUACAGAAAAUGAAGUACAUAUAUCCAUAGUUAAUUGAGUUUAUUAAUAUCAUAAAUUUAUAAAUUUAUCACAAAGAUUGAUAAAAUAAGAUAAAAGUCUAUGUAUGUUAGAUAUUGAUAUAAUCCAUUAAAGCUAUAAUUAGACUAUAAACAUCACCAUUCGAGAGGUAAAUAAAGGGUAAACACUUUUUUAGGAGAAAAUGUGCAAAUUUAUUAUUCUAUUUACGUGAAUGAUUCAAAUUUACUAUAAAAUUUUCAAUUGGUACAAGUUUUGCAGGACACUCUUAAUUUUAAAACAAAUUUAUCAUUAUAUUUCUAAUUUUAGAAUAACCGUGAUCAAAAUAUAACAAUCGAAAAAUAUUUCAUAUACUAUUUUGUUAAAAAUUAUUUUACAAUUGUAAAAAAGGAAAAUAACAUGAUAGAAAAAAGAACUAUAUUUAUAGAUAAUACUACUUAUAUCUAUAUUAAGUAUUUAAAGACUGAAUGAUUUUUCAUAGUUCCAGAAUUCCUCAUGCCUCACGAUUUUUUUUUUCCAGAUUCAUAAUUAACAUAUAUUUGACAUGCUUAUACGUUGCUUAGUGCACACACUUUAACCCAGUCAUGCUGCCUUCAUUUCCAUUUCUUUAUAGAAAACGAAAUCCUCAUUUCCAAGAUAUCAGCCUAAAAUUUAUCCAUUUUUAUAACAGUAUAAAUAAAUUUAAUCAAUCUCUAAAAAGAAAAAUCACACUCCAACACGCAUAAAAUAAAGGGUUUUAAUUUUAAUUUUAUUUUUAAUAUAAUCACACACAUUGUGUUGUUUUAUAUAAUACUAUAUAAAGAAUGAAAAAUAAAUCAUACAAAAUGUGCCAAUCUUUACAAAACAAAUUUUAAAAAAUAAAAAUAAACGUCAAUCAAGUAUUAGUUGAGAUAGCAUGCAUGGAUGUUGGUUAAUCUCUUGAGAUUAGAGUUUGAGAGACUUAAAGGUACUACAAGAAAAUGAAAGAUUAGUGAUAGUUUUGUAGUGCCGUUUCACUUACAAAUGUGGCUAACUUUCGUGUUUUUAUAAAAUUUAAGGCGUUUAUUAUCAAAAUGCCACUAAAUAUUCAAAUACGGUGUUGUUAUUUAUAAAUGUCAUCAAAUACUUGAUAUUAGCGGUGUUUAUCGACUAAAAUACAUUGAAUAAUCUUAUCUUAAAAAUUUGAGUAAAUACUAAAUGCGUUUUUGACAGAAAACAGCUUGAAUAAUCCCAUUAAAAAAAUUGAUAGAGAAUUACUAAAGGCAUUUUUGGCAAACAACGCCUUCAAUAAUCUCCUUAUAAAAAAAUGUAUGUGAUUAUUGAAGGCGUUUUUUACAAGAAACACAUUUAAUAAUUCCACCAAAAAAUUUCACAGGUUUAUUGAAGGCGUUUUUGAUCAAAAAUAAUUUCAAUAAAUAUCAUAUUAAAAUUUUAGGAUCGUACAGAUGUUAAACAUAAAUUGGUAGGUUUAAUCCUUCCCUUUAGCAUUUUUUAGGUUUUGGCAGAGAUUAUUUGUAAUUAAUUAUUCUAGACGUUUUCUAGACAAAAACUUCUUCAUCAAUUAUUUUUAAAAAAUUUGGAGAGAAUAUUGAAGGCGUUUUUGGUAGAGAAACACCUUUAAUAAUCUAUAGGAAAAAUAUUAAAUCGAUUCUUAAAGGCGUUUUUGGUCGAACCCGCCUUCAGUAAUCCAUAUACAAAAGUUAGAACGGAUUCUUGAAGGCAUUUUUGGCUCAAAACGCCUUUAAUAUUUCACAUGAUAAAUUUGAAUGAUCGAAUUAUUGAAGGUGAUUUUUUUAAAAACCGCCUUCAAUAACAUUUUGUAAUGGAUUAUUCAAGGCGUUUUUGGUAAAAAAAUACCUUUAAUAAUCCAUACGAAAAAUAUAGAACGGAUUAUUGAAGGUUUUUUUUGUUGAAAACGCAUUCAAUAAUUCAUUCAAUUAAUUUUUAGUUGGUAUUAUUGAAAGUGAUUUUUUUUUAAAACGCCUUCAAUAAUUCAUACAAAAAAAUUGAAACGGAUUCUUAAAGGUGUUUUUUUGCCAAAACGCCUUUAAUAUUCCACACAAUAAAUUUUUAAAUAGGAUUAUUGAUAAAAAACGCAUUCAAUAACAUUUUGUUAUGGAUUAUUCACGGUGUUUUCUUGUUAAAUAUACCCUUAAUAAUCCAUAGAAAAAUAUGUGGAAUGGAUUCUUGAAGGCGUUUUUGGGUGAACGCACCUUUAAUAAUCCAAUUAAUAAAUUUUUAACAGAAAUUAUUGAAGGUGGAUUUUGUCAAAAAUGCGUUCAAUAAUCCAUACACAAUAUUUGGAACAGAUUCUUGAAGGCGUUUUUGUCCCAAAUGCCUUUAUUAUUCCACACAAUAUAUUUUUAAGUGAAAUUAUUGAAGGCGAUUUUGGUUAAAAACGUCUUCAAUAACAUUUUGUUAGGAAUGAUUCAAGACAUUUUCUUGCUAAAAAAGCUUUUAUUAAUCCCAUAAAAAAAUAUUUUUGGUAUUGUAUAUGUCAAGUUAGUUGUAAGUUUAUGUCAAAAAAAUAUUUGAAGUUAGUUGUAUAUUUUUGUCCAAAAAAUAUUUUAGUUAUAUAUGUGAUACUACGAAUUACAUUUUAAAAUUUAUACAAUGAACAUUAUUAUAUUUCAAUAAAUUGAUCAUACAUCCAGAUUUAAAACUGAUAACGUUAUUAUAUUAAUAUACUUUUCUAAAAUAAUUGUACUCAAUAAUAUAUUAAGUACACAUAAUGUAUUCAUAUUAAGUAUACCAAUAAUAUUAAACCAAUACCCCAAUCUAGAAACUUAAAAUUUUCAUUUAACAUAGCAUGUUAAAAACAUUAUAACAAUUUGUUCCUUAUAUAUUUACAUUCAACCAACAAUGUCUAACCUCAAGGUUUAUUAACAUUUAUAAAUGAUAAUACAUACUCACACCAUUCUUUACGGACUUCAUUCAGUUCUUCUACCUUGAAGCUUUCUUUACUCUCUCACUAAAAAAAAUCAGAGGUAAAUGUUAAUAAAUGAGAACAUAAUUUAACUUUUUAUUUUUUUGAAGAUAUAACGAGUUUAUGAAAUUUAUACUAACCUUGAAUGGUGUGGUCAUAAAAUCAUAUAAAACUAUCUUCUGCAUAAAACGAAUUACAUAAUAUCCACAUUCAGUAUUACCAGAUUGACGAGGUACCUGAAAAUUAAAUUGAGUGGGUUUAAAAAAUAUUUAUCUACAUAAACUCCACAUAAAAGAAUAAAUUUUACAUUUAUCGAUAAUGACACCCAUUUCGAUUUCUUUGCCUUUUUAUCGAAUGUAGAUAUUACCCUAAAUUGAAAAGAAAAAAUUACUUAAUACAUAAAUAUAAUUACUUAUGAAGAAAUAGAAGAUAUAUAAUAUAAAAAGUGUAAUACCUCUUUAUAAAAGUUUGAAUAUCGGGGUUAGGCAUCAUCGUUUGAUUAACUGAAUUAAGUAAGUAUGACGUUAAAGAUUUGGUGUCAAUCACAAUAAACCCCAAUGAUGACUACAAAAUAAUGACAAUGUAUACUCAGAUUAUACAUCAAUCAAAUUUGGGUAAGGUUAUAAUAAUUAAAGUUGGAAUAUAAUUUAUUGCGCAUUACAUGAGAGCAAAUAAUAAUUAGUCAGUUUUUUCAUCCAUUCAAUUACAUGAUUAGCAUGAUAAGCGACUGUGCCACUCUGCUCACUAAUGAAGUUAGAGUCAACGAAUCUAAAUCUAUUAGUCAACUGUCUCCCAUUGAGCUUUCUAUAUAGGAAGCUGCACAAUAACAAUAAAAAAUACUAAUUAGUAUUACAUCAUAAUAUAGAUUAAUACAUAUUGAAUGUGCAUAUUUGUAUUUAUAAGCUAACCUCAUAUAAGCAACAAUAUCAACAUCUGAUAAUUCAUCCAGUUCAUAAAAUUAUUUAACCUCCUCCACACCAAUGAAAGAAAAUGAUGGUUUAUCAAAUAACCCUUCCUCAGACUCAAUGGUUAUGAAAUUUCCUCCAGAUAAAUGCACCAACGAAUAAUUAGAUAACUUAUCCAUGGUAGCCUGAGUAAGAGUCAUACUCUAAGUCCAAACAUCUUACUAUAAUAUUUAAUGAAAUAUAAGUAUUAAAACCAAAUCAAUAAAUAUAAUAAACAAAUUAAUAUUAAACUUAUAAACAAAAUCAUACUUCAUGGGUGGUAGCAAAAGAUAGGUUUGCUACCUGACUUGCAACGAAAGCUUGUCCUACAUGGACGAUGCUAUCAGACUAGCCUACUAACAUGCUAUGCUACAUUGCUACCAACAUAGCUUCAAAAGCAGCGAGUCUUUGCUAUUACUUAUUGAUGUGUUGCUCCUAGUCAUCAAUUCAUUAUUGUUGUUACUCAAUGAUUGCUUUAUAUUGUGCAUUUCUCAUUCGCGGGAUUUUGGGUUGAUUACUAAAAACCUUUGAUGGUAAGAAAAAUUUACUAACCCCACGAACCUGACCAGGCCUUUUUUUAGCGCCUAAUACUAAAGAUAAUGAAUCUUUGCCAUACUGGAUUACCAGUUCAUUAGAUUUGACUUUGGCAAUAUAAUCAUCUUGAAAAAUAAUAAUAAGAUGGACUAUAAUAAUAAAUUAUAAAAGCUAGUAUACAGUCAUGCAUACAACCACAAUGUCAAUCAUACAUGAUAUUAAAAAAAUAGUUAUACAUAUAAUAUUUUUUACCAUUUCUUCGGUUGUUCAUCUGCAAAGGAUCCAUCCUUCCGUAGAUGUCCUUAUUUUCAGACAUUUCAUUUGAAAACUUCGAUGUCAGAGCUCGCUGAUUCUUAUUAAAUUAUUGCAAUAUAAGAAUCAAAAUGUAUGAAAUGAAUGUUCAUAAAUAUUCAUUAAUGAGUAUAAAAUAAGUGUACAAAUACAUACAAACUCAUACUUCACAUUUACAUAUCCCUUUCUUGCUGUCCAAUGGUGAUAUUGUUGUUUGGCCUGAAUGUUCCAUUGGUUUUCUUUGAUUUUUUACAAAAAAAAAAAUUACAUCAAUCACAUAUGAAGAUCAAAUGAUAUAUUGCAUAAAAACUUAUAAACAAUUUUUUUUGGUAAUGAGUUUGCGUACUGAAAAAUCUUCUGAAAGUCGAUAUCAAACAAAAUUUUUUCAAUCUUUAACACUCAUUACAUCUACAUAUGAUGCAGGUGGAACAGUCAAUACAUCACCUUGAUCAGCCAACGGUAAAAUAUAUUGGGUUAUCAAUCUACUUUUAAAGUCUCUGAAUACUUUUUUAGCAGAUUGUAACAUAAUUUUUUUACAAUCAAUUAGGACGUCAAACCAUUCCUAAAUAAUUUAACACAAUUAGUAUGAGCACAUUGAAUUUCAAUUAAAUGAUCAUUUAACAAAUUUUAUGAAAUAGUUGAAUAAAUAUAACACAACUGAUUGCCAUAUAUCAUUUUUUAGAUCAUCAAGAACUCAUCGUCAAUUGGUGUGUGUAAUUGAAGUCCUACUACAGACAACGGCUCCAAUAUGAGUAGCCAACUUGACAGCUCUUUUAGACACAGGCUACCCACUUUAAUUGAAGUCAACGUAAAUUUUUAUGUCACUCACUUUAAUUUGUUUAUUUAGGCCUUUUCCUUUUCUUUUUUAGCUUAUAGUUGUGUCUUGUACAUGUUUAAUAGAAUGAGAAUAAUGUUGUUCAAAGUCCAUAAUACCUAUAAUUUUGAUCAUAAUUAUAUGAAUUACACAAAAUGAUCAUCUAAAUUUAACACUGUACUAAUUAAAUACAACCAAUACCAUACUAUGUACAAAAACACAAUUUAGCAAACCAAUCAACAAUGUGCUUAAACACACCCUUCAGCAAACCAUUCAGAAACACCAUUCAGCAAACCAUUAAGCAUAUGAUUCAGCAUACCAAUAUCAUACAAUACCAUUCAGUAAAAUAAUCUCACACAACAAGGUUCAGCAAACCACAAUGUUUAAAGAAAACUACACAGAAAUAGCAUACAUGCAAUGAAAAGUGCUUGGACGACUAUGUUUAUGAUGAAAUUAAUAAAAAUAUAUAUGCUUAUGUAAAUAGUAAAGAACUGAAAAAAAUAGCUCUAUCGAAUAAUAUAAAUAAUACAGUAAACAAAAAAAUAAAGACAUAUCGAUAAACAGAGAGGUGCGCGCUGUUGAUUUGUUAAAGGUUGGUGGCGACUAUAGGUAUAAAGAAACCAAAACUCUGAUAGAAAUAUGUUUAUGAGUUUGGUUUAGUUCAUUAAUAUAGCUUUUAAUCGUUCUUUGUACUAACAGCUUGUGAUUCUGAUGUUCAAGACAGGAUAUAAAAAUGAUUAUUAAAGGUAUUUUUUUGAAAAAAAAAUAUCUUCAAUAAUCUCCUUAAAAUUUUAGUUGAAGAUUAUUAAAGGUAUUUUUUACUAAAAAACGCCUUUAGUAAUCCAAAAAAUAACUUUCAAAGAAAAUUAUUAAAAGCAUUUUUCUUCAAAAAAUAUCUUUGAUAAUUCUGAACAAAAAUUAUUGAAGGCAUUUUUAGUAGAAAAUCAUCAUUACUGAUAUUUUUGUGAUAAGAAUAGAAGGAAUUAUUGAAGGCGUAUUAUACAAAAAAUACCUUCAAUAAAUUCUUUGAAAAAAUUAUAACAAAUUACUGAAGGCAUUUUUAUGAAAAAAAAUGCCUUUAAAAAUCUCCUUAAUAUUAUUGAAGGUGUUUUAUAUUAAAAGAUACCUUCAAUAAUCUUAAAAAAAUUUUUAAAAAAAUUAUUGAAGGCAUUUGUUCUAAAAAAAAUACCUUCAAUAAUUAUGUACAUAAAUUAAAUGGAAUCAGUAAAGGCAUUUUUCUAAAAUAAAUACCUUCACUGACCAUUUUAAAAUUUGAGUAGUGAAAUAUUGAAAGCGUUUUUCAUUGAAAGACGCUUUUAAUAAUCUCAAAAAUUUUUGAAAAAAAUUAUUAAAGCCGUUUGUUCUAAAAAAUGCCUUCAAUAAUUAUGUAUAAAAUUUUUUAAAAAAAUUAUUGAAGAUAUUUUUUGGAAUAAAUGCCUUCACUAACGGUCUUAAAAUUUGAGUACUGGUAUAUUGAAGGUGUUUUUUACUAGAAGACGCCUAUAAUAAUUCAAAAAAAUUUUAAAAUAAAAUUAUUGAAGGCAUUUGUUUUCAAAAAAUAUCUUCAAUAAUUAUGUACAUAAAUUAAAUGAAAUCAGUGAAGGCAUUUUUUUAGAAUAAACAUCUUCACUAACCAUCUUAAAAUUUGAGUAGUGGAAUAGUAAAAGUGUUUUUCACUAGAAUACAUAUUUAAUAAUCUCAAAAAAAAUUUUAAAAAAUUAUUGAAGGUAUUUGUUUUCAAAAAAAUGACUUCAAUAAUUAUGUACAUAAAUUAAAAGAAUUUAGUGAAGGUAUUUUUUUAGAAUAAACGCCUUCACUAACCAUCUUAAAAUUUGAGUAGUAAAAUAUUGAAGGUGUUUUGCAUUAGAAGAUGCCUUCAAUAAAUUUUUUCAAAAAAUAAAACCAAUUAGUUCAACCAUUUUUCUAGAAUAAACACCUUCAAUAACCCCUUAAAAUUUUAGUAAUGUAAUAUUAAAGGCGUUUUAUACAGAAAAUAUCUUUAAUAAUUUUAAACAAUUUUUUAAAAAAAAUUAUUAAAGGCGUUUUUAGUAAAAAUUACCUUCACCGAUACUCACAAAUAAAAAUGAGAGAAUUAUUGAAGGUAUAUUAUACAAAAAAUACCUUCAAUAAAUAAGCCAUAUAAAUUAGAUAAAAUUAGUGAAUGCGUUUUUGAGGUGUAAACGCCUUUAAUAAUCCCAAACAAUUCUACUACGACUUUGUUGAGGUGCCUAUAAUAUAUUCAAAAAAUAUUUAAGAAAAAAUUAUUAAAGGCAUUUUUCCUAGUAAAUGCCUUCAAUAAUCUGAUCCAAUAAAAUUGUCCCCAAACUUAGCACAUCUAAUCACCAACUUUAAGCUUUAUCUUUAUUAUUUUACUAUUUCUCUUUCAGAUCAACUACAAUUUACUUUCUCUUUCCUUCAACUUUUAGUAUUUGAGUAUUGUCUUUUAGAACCCUAUUUUGACUAUUCAUUAGUUAUUUAUUUUAGCUUUUACUUCAUUCGACUAUUCCUUCAGCUUUUGUAAUUUGCGAUUUUCUUUUUGGUUUAAACAAUUUUCCCCAAAACUCACUUUCCUUAAAUACCCAUUUGUAACCCAUCAUCCACUUCUUUUUCCCUUUCAUUUUUUUUGGGUUUUCUUUGUACUUAUUUUACCUUAUGUUAACCCCAACUAUAAAUUCUCUUAGGUACUAUCUACAUUAGCAGUAAAGUUUUAACAUUCAUAAUAUCAGGUAGCUGAUAAAAAUACUUCACAAUAAAAAGUUCUCAUUGUUUGUAAGUACUGGUCUUAUUAUUAUCUUUUGUUUAAAAUAUAGUAAACUUAAGUAUUUUACAUGUUCAUGUUCAUUUUCAUAUAAAUUAUUUAUAUACAUUUGGUCUGAUAAUAUAGCAAGUACUAAAUGGAUAAGAGUUGGAUGUAAAAGUCAAGAUUAAGUCAAUAGUACAAAGAUGGAGUAGAAAAUUUUCUUAAUUUUACAUUUGAAAAUACAAGUGAAGAUAAUAUGAUAUUAUGCCUAUGUGUGAAGUGUGCUACUAUCGAUUGACAAAUGAGUCAAGUUAUUUUUGAACAUGUAAUUUGUAUUAGAUUUCUCUAAGGAUAUGGUAAUUGGUAUUUUUAUGAAGAGUAUGUAUCGUCAAGGUUUUUCACUAGAGUUCUUUUAACUUCAAGGGCUCUCCAACACCAAUAUGAUCAUUUUAUAGCAGAUGACAUUGAAAGCAUAUUGUGAGAUACUUUUAACAUUUAUAACCAAUAUUUCUAUAAUCUUUCUCUCCAAAAUGAUGGAUUUAAUCAGUCCAAUAUUGAAAUGAAUGGAUUUGAUGAAUUUAGGAUAGGUGUACAUAACCAACAACCUAGAGAAGAAGCAUCGAAGUUUUGUAGGUUGCUUGGCAUUCAAGGUUAUCUUUCUGUGUUCAUCUUUUUCACUUGAAAUGCUUAUGUGGAUGGAUGAAAAACUCUCUGAUUUUAUUAUUAGAGUUUAUGAAAGAAAUAUUUUUUUUAUAAAAUUUUUUUAAUCUUGUAAGGAAUAAAAAAAGACGAUCAAGGAUUUAGGUUUCGGAUAUGAGAAAAUUCAUAAUUAUCCUAAUGAUUGCAUGUUGUAUUGGGGUGAUAAAAAAAAUCAAGAAUCUUAUCAUUUGUGUGGUAUUUCUCGUUGGGUGGAUAAAAAUCUUAAUGAAAGGUUGAACGAUGAUGGUAAUGAGGUCUGUGUUAAAAAGAAGAUUGUUAAGGUUUUAUGCUAUAUUUCAUUAAUAUCAAAACUUCAAUGACUCUUCAUGUCUUUCAAAACUACAGAUUUAAUGAGAUAGCAUCAUAAGAAAUGGAUAGACGAUGGACCAUUGAGGCAUCUCACAGAUUUUUUGACAUAAAAAUUAUUUCUUCUAGGUUUUCAGACUUUGUAACUGAUCCUCGAAAUGCUAUGUUUGGACUAGCAUCUGAUGAAUUCAACCUGUUCAAAAUGAUGAGUACUUCUUAUAAUACUUGGUCAAUGGUAUUGAUUCUUUACAAUUUCCCACCAUGGAUUACUAUGAAACAAUAAUCAUUUAUAUUGUCUAUGAUAAUUCUCAAGAAAAAAAGUCCAGGUAAUGAUAUAGAUAUCUAUUUACAACUUCUUAUUAAAGAGUUAAAGUAAUUAUGAGAAGGAGUUAAGACCUAUAAUGCAUUAAAAAAAAAGAACUUCAAUAUGCAUGCUGCUUUAUUAUAGACUAUCAAUGAUUUUUUUUACUUAUGUGAAUUUAUCUGAUUGAAGUAUAAAAAGUCAUUAUGCUUAUCCAUGUUAUGUUGCACAGACAUGUUUGAAGUGGUUACCUAAUAGUAAAAAGUUAUGUUAUAUGAGAAAUCAUCAAUAGUUAGAUGAUAAUCAUCGAUUUAGAUUCUAAAAAUAUCUUUUUGAUAGAACUGAAGAGUUGAAAAAAUCACUUUUACCCAUUAGUAGGUCUAAUAUCUUGUCAAAGUUAAAAGAUAUUAAUUUCACUUAUGAAAAAAUGACUCCAUCAAAGAAAAGAGUGAGAGACAUCUUUGAAGGUGUCUGGCCUCAUAUUACGUAAAUUGGUGAUAUUGAUACUGAAGUUGGUGAUCUUGAUGUUCAAAGUGAUGAAAAUGAUGAUAAAGAAGAUAACCCCAAUGAGUCUGAGUUGUGAAAAAAAAGAAGUAUCUUUUUUGAGUUGCCUUAUUAGAAAUAUAAUUUAUUAUGUCAUAACAUUGAUUUGAUGCACAUAGAGAAGAAUGUUUAUGAAAAUUUUAUCGGGACAAUUCUCAAUGUGAAUAGAAGAUCAAAUGAUGACUUAAAAAGUCAGCUUGACUUAGUUAAUAUGGGGAUUUGCCCUGACCUUCAUCCAAAAUUGCUUCCUAAUGGUAAAUAUUGAUUGUUUGCUGCUUGUUUUAGAAUUUUUAAAGCUGAAAAAGAUGUGUUUUGCAAGGUUUUAAAAAAUAUCAAAGUUACAGAUGGCUAUGCAUUAAAUAUAUUGAGAUGUGUAAAUCUAAAAAAGUGAAAACUUUCUUCAUUGAAGUUACAUGAUUAUCACAUUUUGAUGCAAGACUUACUUUCAAUUACUUAACGUUCAUCAAUAACAAAGCAAGUCACUUCUAUGGUAAUUGAAUGAGUAACAUAUUUAAAUCUUUAUGUGAGAAAUGUUUGAAUGUGAAAGAGCUUGACAAACUUUAAGAUUAAGCUGUGAUUACUUUAUGCCAUUUAGAGAGGAUUUUCCCUCCAAACUUCUUCACUAUUAUGAUGUAUUUGGUUAUCCACCUUUUAUAUGAAGCAAAAGUCGGUGGGCUAGUUUAUUAUUGAUGGAUGUAUCUUAUCGAAAGGUAUUAUUGUUUAAUAGAUUGAUUAGAUUUGUAUUGAUGAUCAUGCCACUCUAGUUAAAAAGAUAUAUGACUAAUAUUUUAUGCAAUAAAUUUUUGGAGAGGUUAAAGUCUUAUUAUCGUGACAAACACUAUCCGAAAGGUUCUAUUGCUAAAGGAUAUUUAGUAGAAGAGUGUAUGACAUUUUGUUCUUGUUAUUUGAAAGAUAUUGAAACAAGAUUUAAUAAACCAUCGAAAAAUAUUGGUAUGUAGCAUACUGACUCUAUCUAUAGUUAUCUUUUUCAAAGUUUUGAAUAGUCAAUAGACAAAGCUGAAAUAGUGGAGUUAGAUGAUAAAUCUUGAGAACAAACAUAUCGAUAUGUUCUUUUUCAUCAUGACUCUAUUAAAUUGUUUCCCACGUAAAUUUUUUAACAAGAAAAUUAUUCAUUACAUUAAGCAUAAUUUAUUAUAUUUUUUUAUUGUUAAUACUUUAUCAUGAUACUUUGUAGUGAGUAUAAAAAUAAUUUGAGAGCUUCUGUAUAUUAUCGAUGAUCAAACCUUCGAGAGCUUGAUAAUUUAUUCAUAAAAAACUUUCAUGAAUGGUUAAGAGCAACUGUAAGUAAUGCCAUACUUCUCAUUAUGAGAAAUCUACAUAGAAUGCUUACGGUAUAACUAAAAUUAAUAAUAUAUAUUAUUUAUUUCACUUUUAUAGGUUUGGAGUGGAAGGCUUAUUAGUGAAGAGGUGAAGUACUUUCACAAGAUCCGAACAGGAUUGUGAAAUGAUACAAAGGUUUCAUUAUCAAUGGAUUUAGAUUUCACACUAAAUCUCAUGAGAGAUUUAGAAGUAUAUAAAAUUCAAAAGUUGUUAUUACUUCAUCAACUACUAGCUAUGUUAGUGCUAAGGACACAAACCCUUUAAAGAGAAAUGUUGACUAUAAUGGCAUGAUUAAUGAUAUCAUUGAGUUGAAUUAUUAUGGCAAGUGAAAAGUUAUCUUAUUUUGGUAUGAUUGGGCUAAUGUGAAUAGUAUGAGGGGUAUUAAGAAAGAUCAGUAUGAAUUUAUACUUAUAAAUUUUUUUCGAUUAAUUCAUACUAGAUAACAACUUAUUGAUGAACCUUAUGUUUUUUCAUUUCAAGUCAAAUAAUUUUUUUAUUCUAAAGAUCCUAAAGAAUUAUGUUGAUUUUUUGUUCUUCGAAAUACACCUAGAGAUUUAUUUAAUAUGUAGUUAGAUACAAGAGAUGAUGUUAAACAUGGAACUGAAUGUUAUCCUUUUGCUGAACAAAACUUGGAUGAAAAUAUCUCUAGUACCUACGUUCAGUGGGCCCGCGAAGAUGUUAAUGAAGACAUUUAUGAACCAUGAUGGAUCAUUUAUAUUUUGUAAUUCGAGUAUUAAGACAUAAUGUAAUAAAUGAUUUAUGUAAUUAAUGUCGCAUUCACUAUUGUAUAUUUAUUACAUUGUAAAUUAUACAUUAUCUUUUGAUUUAAUUAAAUCGAUUUAUUCUUUAUAUAUCGUAGGUUACGAUUUUUUAACUUCUCAAUGUUUUUAUAUAUAUUCUAAACUAAUAUCUUUUAUAUAUUCAUUUUUAUGAUACAGGUAAGCUACAAUGCGGAGUAGAUUGAAUGGAAUGCAUAUCAGAGAUAUUAGUUCAAAAUCAUCUAUGGCACCUGUUGAUAUUGGCUAUGGAUUGAAUCUUUUGAAGGGGAAUGAAUGUACUGUUGGAUUUAACUCAGUCACUUCUAACCCUUCAACUGAUAUUGGAUUUGACAAUAUGAAAGGUCCAAGUUUAGAUAGUAUCCCGUCAAUUGAUUAUGCUUUAAAUUUAAAUACAGGUACACAUACCCUAUAUUUAGAAUUCAAUUAUAAUGAUAAAAGUAUUGCCAUUUUACAAAUUUAUUUUUUAUUUUUUACAGUUGAUAACAAUGGUCAACAGAGGACCAGAGGCCGGAUAACUUUGAAGGAGUUUUUUGCACUACCUCCAAACGAGCAGAUUGUAGUGUCUGCAAACUCUGAUAGACAACCAAUUGGUGAAGAGGCCCAACUGUUGGCUGAAUUUCUGGGCAUGCUUGCCCGUAAUGGAAUGACCUUGCCUAUUCAUUAUGAAACAAGGCAUAAAGUUCCAGUAGAAGUUAAGGUCGAUACUUUAAACUUUAUUGAUGUAUUAGUAUAAUUAAUUACAUAUAAAAAAAUUAUUUUAAAUUUGGUUAUUGAUUAAAACUUUUCUUUUUGUAUUAUUAUAGUCAAGAUUUGUACUUGAAAUACCAACUUCAUUUGUGCUUAAGUCAUUGGAAAAGAAAUGAAAAGAUUAUAAGCAUAAUUUGAAGAAUAAGUAUUUUGAUCAAAAUACUACUGUAAAGGCGAUGAUGAAAAAUCUAUCCCGUAAUGUGAUUAGGUGGUAAUAUAAAUAAUUAGUUAGAUUUUGGUUCUCAAGAAAAUGAGAGGUACUAAUUUAUAACUUUGUAUAGUAGAAUGAAAUAAUGAAAGUGUUUUAUGCUUUAAGUUGGUAAUAUUUGUAUUUCUACCAUAAACGUAAUUAUUUUUUAUGAUAGAAAAGAGAACAAAUUGGGAUUGGAAGCAGAAAGCAACAGAAAUAUAGCCACAAAAAGUGGAUCAAAAAGUUUUGCAAGAAAGCAAAAAUAAAUAGUAAGUUUAUGAUUUUAAACUUAUUCCAAUUAAUGAACUUUUUGUGUCGUUAAAAGGUAAAUAUGCAAAUUAAUAGUUAGUGUUCUGUUUUAAUAGUUUUGAUAUUUUCAAUACAUGAUAUUAAACUUAUCGAAAGUUUUGAACUUAGUUGACAUGAAUGAUAUGUAUGAAAAAGUUAUUAUUUAUGUCUAUUUAGGUAAAAAUACAAAUUUGUUGUUAUUGUUCUAUUUAAACAAUUUGAAUAGUUUCAAUACUUGAUAUUAAACUUGUCUGAUUGAUUGAACUUGGUUUCUACAGUUGAUAUGGGUGAAAAAGUUAUCGUUUAUGUCUAUUUGGGACUAUUUUUGCCUUUAAAAGGUAAAAAUACAAAUUGACUUUUCGAUGGCUUUCAACUGUUUGAAUAGCUUCAAUCCAUGAUAUAAAUUUGUCCAAAUAAUUGAAUUUAGUUACCAUGAUUGAUAUAUGUGAAAGGCCAAAAUGCUUUUAUUGUUUGUCUGUUUAAGACUAUUGUGUUAUUAAGGGGCCAAAAUAUAAAUACAUAAUAUUAAAAUUAUUUACAAUUUUUUAACUUAAUUGACAGGCUUAAUAUGUAUGAAUAAGUUGAGGUUGAUAUGUAUCCUAUCAAAUAACAUAUGUUUUGUGUAGGAGAUUGAGAUGGGUGGUAAAAUUGAACGUGUGAAACUUUUUUGCUUAACAUACACAAAAAAGUAUGGAUCUUACAUGAAUAUCAAAACCCAAGAAAUUGUGGUAAUUUGUAACAUCUAUUUUAACAAAAAAUAAAUAUUUACUCUUUUUAACAUAUUAUCAAUUAAUCAUUAAACUUGAUAGUUAAAUAUGACUAAUUUAUAGGAGAAAGUGAAAGAGAAAAUGAUUGUUGAAAUUUAAGUAGCAUCUGAUAGUUCUCUCAACAUGCAAGAAUUGAAAAAUCGAAUAUUCAUAGAAGUUGCUGGAAAGAAAGGCAUGGAUGCGUCCGAGGCCUUUGAUUGGGUCCAACACCAUCUACCUAAUAUGGACAUAACUCUUAGUAAUUUAUAUUUUCAAUAAGUCAGUCUAAGUGAGACAUUUCGAUAUUGAGAGAGGAGUUACAAACUAUACAAUAACAUUUUCAGCAAAUGAAAGCAGAAAGAGAAUAGGAGAGUGUCAAAAUUGAGGAAGAACGUGUUAGAAUGGAGCAAAAAUAUGCAAAAUUUCAGUACUUGCAUGAUCGAUUUGAUCAUCUUAUGAAUUUUGUGCAACAAUUUUCAGAAACUUAUCUCAGUGAUCCACCAACUCAAGUAUUAUAUUUAAUAAAUAUUUAUAUUUUUUAAUAUAAAAAAUCUUACAAUAAAGUGUUAAAAAUUGUAUGCUAUUAUUCAGUAGGUUCUUGAGUACGCUAGUGAUCAAGACGAAAAAAUUUCUUCAUCAAUUAGCAGCCUUCAAAAUCUAUGCAGUCAUCAAUUUCAUAUAUUUUAAUUUUUAUUUUGUUAAUAUAUUAAAAAAAUUUGAAUGUUAUUAUACUAAUUAUUAAAUUUUGUGUUAAUUAUAUGCAUAUUUAAACGUGAAUUAAGUUUAUAUUAAUUUUAGUUUCUGAAUUUAAGCUCGUUUAUAAAAAUAAUAAAUAUUAAUAGAAAUUUUUUAUUUUUAAAAAUUACAUUUAUUAAUUUCACGGCGUUUGUGUUCAAGAAUGUCAUUAAAUGAAUAAUUUAGUGACGUUUGUACUAUAAAAUAUCACUUAAAAAUAGCAGUGCUCUUACUAAAAAAUAUGCUAAACUAGCGACAUUUUUUUUAUACAAAUGCCAUCAAAAUAAUGAUUUUUUCUUACAAAAAUAUCAUUAAAUUAACGACUUCUCAAAUAUACAAAUGCUACUAAAAUAAUAACGUUUUAUAAAAAAUAUCGUUAUUUUUCACUACACGUAUAUAAUUGACAUUUUAAUUAAUAUUUUUCGUAAAAACCACGAAUUUUUUUAGUAAUAUUUAUAAAUACCACUAAAUGUUAAAAAAACACCAGUAAAAACUUAAACCCCAGUAACGAGGGUAUAAUGUCGUGGCUAUAUAUAAGGAAGGACCCUUUGGAGUGUUAGAAUUGCAAACUCAGUUCCCCACAAAGGAACGAACAUAGCUUUGCAGCGAAUAGCAGCUCACCGAGAAGAGGCUGAGAUCUACCAUGGGCCGCUUUUUGGAAGUAAAACUCACUGGAACUCCUCGACGAGUUCCGUCUGCCCAAAGGGCUGCUGCUUUGAACGAUCUCGUCGAGGUCGGGUGCAACCGGAGCAGAGGGUUCGUCUGGUUGACACGGUUAGCAGAAGAGAUUGGAGAACAAAUUCAAGGCGAUUGGGAAAAACGUCUCGUAUGAAACCGAGUUGACAGCGUUCAUUGAGGAUCGUCCGAUGCAGAGGUUGACAGGUUUCAAAACCAAGGAGCUGCUGAUCUGGGUUACUAUUUCUGAUAUUUCUGAUAGUAAUCCUAGCAAGACCACUUUUUCUACACCCACGGGGAUGUCACGGAUUUUUUCGGUCGCAGCUUUUGAAGCUGAAGGAAAAGAGAGGAAGUGAGGGUUUUUCUUUUCUUAGUAUCUACAUCUGAUUACACUAAUGUCGUUACCCAAAAAUAAUUUAAUGAAUAUUUGUGUUUUUAUGUUGUCUCAAACUCUUAACGUGUGUUUUUUCUUAAACGAGAUUUUAGGUUUUUUUUUUUUUUUUAAUCUAUUGAAAUUUAAAAUUCCAUUAGAAAUAGUUUUCAAAUGUCGAACGAUAUAAAGAACAACUCUAAUCAAAUGUUCUACUCAGUUCUCACUCUCCCCUUUCUCUCCUAAAAAUUUAACAGGAUGAAUUUGUUUUUAGUGGGUUUAAAUUUCCAAGAAUUAGAGAAUUAGACCAAAACCCCUGGAAAUGAUGAUUUCUAGGCUUUAUUACCGGAGUUGGGUAACAUUUUAGCAAGACAACGUACCUUUUUAUGGCAUGCACAAAUAAAUAUGAAGCCGAUGAAAGCCAAUAAAAUUAACCAUAAAUAAACCUCUUUGAUGUGGCUAAAGUUAUUGGUCAUUUCUCACAGUUGCAAAUAUUAUCAAAGUCAUCAGAACAUAAACAUUCUAAUUUCUAGAUUCAUAAACAGAUUGAUUUGUUCCUUCUUUACCAGAAAAGAAGAAGAAAGAACAUGAAUUAAGAUCAGUACUGCUGUUCUUUUGACAUACAACUCUCCAACUGGGUUGAUUUAUACGAAUUGAAUCGCAAUUGCUAGGAAAGAAACCCAUAUUUUCCACUUCAUGCAUGGAGCACACGCUACGAAAAAGCUCCUAUUCCACGAGACAAGAGCCCUGCAAACGAUGCGAAUUCACAUGCCUCCUUCCAAUUUUCCCGGCUACGUAUUAAAUUUACAAAUAAAUCACCAUAUUGCGUGUAAUGGACUAAAAACAUGCUUCCAUAUUGUCAAAGCAACAAACAUCUUAGUCGUAGGAUUGGGGUAUCUUAACUGGUAGCCAUUAAUGUUGGCUUUGUAUUAUAUAUAGGUUUUCUAGAGUUCAAACUGAAUUUGACGAAUGGACUGUUGAAAGUCAAAAGGGUGUCACUUAUAUUAUGACCAAGAAAAGCAGUAUCACUUAAAGCCCUUGAGCCAGCUUGAACUUAUCUUCCUAUAUAUAAAUGGCAUUUUUUAUUAUUAUUACUUAUUGCUGGAUUUGUCAGCAUUUGAACCUAAGCCAUAUUUCUCAAGGGUUUAGUCCAAAGACCAGUCAUUUAGGUAAAAGACAUUGUUAAUUCCGCCAUAGGUAACACAUAAUUACAAGUUGAUUAUUGGCUAUCCUAUCAUAUCGAGAUUGAAACUACUUACGAUGGAUGCUUAUUUUUAUGCAAUUGUUUUGAAAUUUAUAUUUUUUUCCUAUUCUUUUGCAAAUAUAUUUAAAAACAGAAAAUAAUGUAAGAAUUAUUUAUAAAAAAAUUAAACAUAUUAAAUAAUAUUUUUUAAAAUUAUGAUAAAUUUAAAUACUCAUAUUAAGUACAAAUAAAUUAAAAAAGAAAAAUUAUUUUAAAAUUAAUUUUAAAUUGAGAUGAGAUGUGUAUAGAAAAAACUUUCCUAAAGUUGUUUUGGUAUUUAUAUAUUUUUUUCACAUUUUUUGUGUAAAAUAUAUUUAAAAUCUGAAGAUAAUAUAAUAAUUAUUUAUCAAAAAUAUUAAAGGUAUUAAAUAAUAUUUUCAAAAUUUGUGAUAAAUUUAAAUAUUUAUAUUAACUUCAGAUAAAUUAAAAAAGAUAAAUUAUUUUUAAAUUAGUUUUAAAUUAAAAUGAGUUGAUAUACAGGAGAAAGAAAUUUCAUUAAAAUUUAAAUUGAUUUUUGAUUAAAUUUUAAAAUUUUGGAUCAUUUAAUAUUUUUAAAAUAUAUUUUUUAUAAAUAAUUUAAAAUUAAUAAUAUCUUAUAUAUCAUUAUAAUGAAAAAUUUUAGAAAUUAUCAUACGUAUCGAAAAAAGAAGCUAUUCACGUAAUUGUUCACAUCAAUAAUUGUUAUCCGAUAACUAUAUAUGUUAUAAUAUAUAUAUAUAUAUAUUUAUAUAUAUGAUGCAUAAGGUUAAAUCAUCUUAAACAAACUUAAGCUUUGGGCAUUGUUCAAUCAUCUUAACUAUCUAAGUUCAUGUAUUGUUCUUUUGUAAAGCUGAAAUUAUUAAUGUCAUUAAAAGUUACUUAAUAACCGAUUUGCAUGGAUUCGUAACAAAUCACGUAAGGAUAAGAAGUAUUCAAAUUAAACAAAUGGAAUUGAUCAAACAAAAUCCUACUCUAAUGCAUUCAUUUAUUUAAAUUUCGUAAUCUGUUUUGUAUAGCUUUUCAAUUUUGUAAUUUUAUCCUUUUAUUAUUUUUGAAUAAAAGAAAUUAUAAUCUAAAAAUAAAAAAUAAAAAUGUUAUUAUUUGAAUUUCAACCUUCUAAAUGCUACUUCUUAAUUAUAAGUAUAUGAUCCGAUAAACUUAAAAUAUACAUGUCAAUGAACAUGACAAUAAGCCUGCAUUUUCAACUUCUCUCGAGCUUAAAUCUUCAUAAUACUAUAAAAUUUGGAAACUUGAAGUAAUUAAUAAUAAAGGAAAUAAUUGGUUUUAAACUAUCCAUAACUUGAUGAAAAUCAAAGGCCAUACGAGCUUUUCCAAGCGUAGAAAAUAAGUGCUUCUUUAGCUUAUUGGAUCAACCAAACACCCCGAAGUCCCUUGUUAUUAAAUUAGAGUACCAGUUUUGGAGCUAAAUUUCCUAGUCCAAUUUAAACAGCCUUUCUUAACCAUCAAUAAGUAUGAGACUCAUAAUGAGCUUGUCCAUUGUAGGGUGAGCUGCUUUGAAAAUUUGAUUAAAAACUGUUGAAAAGAGACAAGAAAAAUGGCAUUGAAUGAUGCCAAAUUGAAUUAAAAAACUCAGCUUAUCUUCGUGAUUUUUAACUUUCAUAUUGAGGUUCCCCAUAAAGAAUAAUGUACAAACAAAAAGUAAUCCAAAUUCGGGAUUCCCCUGCUACACCAGAGUGACCAAAUGGUUAUCAUUUCUUUAACAAAUUUAAGGUCCAAAGUUUAAAUCUCAUCUUUCGCUUGACUUCUCAUUUGUAACAAAUAAAAUAGUCCUAGAAAAUGUAAUUAAACUAUGUAAAUUGCACAAGAAUUCCCUCUCUUCUUUUUGUUUUAUUUUUGAGACAUAAGAUAAGUUUAUCAUGAGCUCAAAUCCAUGAGAUUAUUUGCUCCCAAAAAAUUCAAAAAAAAAAAAAAAGUAGUUGAAAAGAGAAAAAAGGAAAUGACAGACAAAGUAGGAUGAUGAUAUCAAUAUGGAAAACGAUGUAGUAGGAAGAAACUCAUGGAAAUAGUAUUCGCUUUAUGGGGAAGGUAACUGCCAAAACAACUCCUCUGUUCUUCCAAUCAAAACUCCUCUGUAUUUCUCUGUUGUAUCUCUUCACCACUCUUUUCCUUGCUCUCUACCAUUCUUUCUCCUCCACCAAAUGCCUCUUUAGAUCCUCUCCUUUUGAUCCAAUCCAAACGCCACUCUUUUCUUACCCUCCUUCCUAUGGAGAACACAAGUAUGCUAUCCCCACCGACCGCUCUUCUUGUUCCUCCCCUGUCUUCUUCUCUGGUAUGUUGGCUUAUCUCAGAUUUUUUCUUCAUGGAUAUUUUUUGUUUAAGUUUUGGUUUUGAUGAUUGUUUUUUUUAUUUUUGACUAAAGGGUAUUGGAUUUUGUGACCAGAUUAUGGGAUGGUGGUGGAGGAGAUCCAUAAUUUGUGUAAGAAUUUUUCAGCAUUUUUACCGGCUCUGAGGUAUUUACAGGGGAAAGGUGACACUUUUGGUGGAUAUUUGAGUACCCUGAAGAGAAUUUCUUAUUUCAAUCAUUCCAAUAAUGGCAUUAAAGUCCCUUGUGGAUUUUUCAAAAAGUUUCCUGUUAGUAAUUCUGGUUAGUUUUUAUCUGAAUUCUCUAGAAUUUGAUAUUUGGGGUCAUCUUCUUCCCUUUUUUUCUUGUCUAGUUCAAUUAAUGAAAUUGACGCAGCUUAAAACUUUAUCCCUUUUUUUAUUCAGUUUCUAGCUUGAAUUGAGACCUGCCCUUGCAUUUUCAUUCCAUUUUUGUGAAAAUCCUCAAUCCUGUCUCAAACUAAUGCUACAAUCUAUCUCUAUUUUGUUCAUAUAUGGUUGAUUCUCUUUUAAUUUAUUUGUUUAUGGUAUAAUUCAGAUCGAGUUGCCAUGGAAAGCUGCAAUGGAGUUGUUGUAGUAUCUGCAAUCUUCAAUGAUCAUGACAAAAUCCGGCAACCAAUAGGUCUUGGAUCUAAAACCAUAGAUAGUGUAUGCUUCUUCAUGUUUAUAGAUGACAUAACCCUUAAAGGGCUUUAUUAUCACCAAGUAAUAACACAAGACUCACCUGACUACAAAGUCGGAGUCUGGAGAAUCGUUAAAGUUUCAUCGAAGAAAUUGUAUGAGAAUCCUGCAAUGAAUGGGGUGAUACCAAAAUACUUAGUUCAUAGACUUUUUCCGAACUCGAAAUUCAGCAUUUGGAUAGACGCGAAGGUUCAGCUUAUGGUUGAUCCAUUGUUGUUGAUACAUUCUCUUGUUGAGUCACCGACCGCGGACAUGGCUAUAUCAAAGCAUCCUUAUUAUAUUCAUACCAUGGAAGAAGCUAUGGCGACGGCAAGGUGGAAGAAAUGGUUGGAUGUUGAUGCUUUGACCAGGCAAAUGGAGACAUACUGUGAAAAUGGGUUGCAGCCAUGGACUUCCGAUAAGCUCCCCUAUACCACAGGUAAUAAUCUCAUGCACUCCUCCUACUUUAUUUAAUUGUUUCUUGUGAUGAUAAAUUUUCUUAGAUGAAUUUCUUUGUCAAAAAACUGUUUAGGAACACAAGGUGAAAAUUGAUAUCUUUCCUUCCAUUUCAAAGAAAUUUUCUUUGCAUAAUAUUGAAUAAACCCAUGCAGAAAAAUGAUGCCAGAACUGAGAUGGAACAUAUUCCUUUUCCUCUAGUGAUCAGUUUGAAGGAAGAGACAAUUUAUUUUUUAGAUUCUCACACUAAAGUUGUUCAUCAAGCUUUUAUUACACAAGCUAAGCUGUCUGAAUAUUAUAUAUAGUCUUUUUUCUUCAUAAUAGUAUUUAUGUAAUGGUUUGGUUAGUUUUAGAUUUAACCAACAAAUUCAUUAUAUUUCUAAGACGACCAACACAAGUAGAAUUCACAAAAAUACAUAAAAAAAAAUUACGCACAAAUCCCUUGUUAAAUGUGUAUUAGGUUUAUGAUCAUUAGAAAUGAUUAUGAAUUAUAGAAAAAUUAGCACUAUAGUUUCAUUUUGAUUAUUAGCUACCGACCGUAUCAUGACUGCUUGCGUAGUUUUGAAGUUCCUUGAAAGCACGUCCAUGAUCCCAAUGGGAUUAGUUUUUUGAAUUUUGACCUUUAAGAAAAUCCAUGAAUAAGUUUACUACUUACUAGUAUUUAUACGUAUGGGUAUUUUCUUUCUCUUCUUCCCCUCAUGUUUUACCUUAAAAAAAUAAAAUAUGUACCACAUAAUCUUAUUGCAGUUUUGUUUGGCCAAAAAGAAAAAUCUUAUCACUUUGUCCUAAAACCAAGAAGACCCAACUUGACGGCUACUACAUCAUGUUCUUGCUAUGAGAUGUAGGAGUUUGAUAGAAAGCUAAAUGUAUGGUCCCAAAAAAAGAUGCAAAAGAAACGUCUUAAUCAAUAAUGAAUAAUCGAUGGGGUUCCAAUAAGCAUGUUAUCAUGUUAUGCUUCCCUAUCGAAUAGCAAUGCAGCUUUCAAUGAUGUUGAAGUUUACUGUUAUAUCCAUAUCAAUCAGAAUUCUUGAAUUACCAUAUAUAUCUGUUUUUUCUUAUGUUUGGUUGGCAGAUGUACCAGAUAGUGCAUUAAUCUUGAGGAAACAUGGAUUGGGAAGCAAUCUUUUCUCCUGCCUUUUGUUCAAUGAGUUGGAAGCAUUUAACCCUAGGGACCAACUGGGUUUUGCAUUCGUGAGAGAUCAAAUGAACCCAAAGCUGAAGUUGAACAUGUUUGAGGUGGAAGUUUUUGAGCAGAUUGUAGUGGAAUACAGGCACAACCUUAAAAAAUUGGGGAAUAUUGAAGCUAGGUCGUCUGCAGGGACCAGACCCAAAGGGAACAAAAGGGGCAGUCAUGAAAAUUUCUAUUUGAAUGGCAGCAGUUGCCAGAAGUAUCUUUUGGAAAUGUGGGGUGAAUCCCAUAGUUGAUUUUGUCCCUGACUAAGGGGUCAAAGAAUAUGAAAGGAAAAAAGAAAAGGUCAAAUAGAGGGAAAAAAUGGAAAAAAAACAAACCAAACGACAUUUCGCAGAGAAAAGCUGACAAACAUAACAGGUUGAAGGGGUAUCCAACUAUUUUAUUAAUGAUUUUUCGGCUGUGGCGGUGGUAUUAUUCUUUCGAAGCUUUUCAAUUCAAGUUUCAACCAAGGCAUUAAAAUAAAGAGUAAGUGGGUGGUGUUUUUCGGUCGAUGCUGCAAAUUGGUGUACCCUUUGAAGUCGCUGUGGAUUUACUGUUCACAAACAGCUUAAUUUCAGAAGUUAUUCAAGUAAUUAAUGAAGUUCCACAUAAAAAAUGGUUUGUUAAUUGUCCUUGGGAUUGGCCUCCACUCUUUUUUUUAUCAGUUCCUCUUUUCCUUUUUCAUUUUCUUGUAAAUUUAUAUUCGGUUGUAUGCAAAGUUAUAAAUUCUUUUAUGAAAAUAUAGACUGUAAAAUGGAAAAUAAUUUUUUUUUCUUUUCCUUAGUGUGCUUGAUAGUAAAGAUGCAAAAAUUAAAAGAAAGUAUUUUUUGAUUAAAAUAUAUUUUUAACCAUUAUUUGAUAGAGUUAAAAAUUAAAAAAGAUUAUGCUACCAUUAUAAUUUUUAAAAAUUAAGUUGAAAAUGUAAACUCUAUAUGUGAUGUACAAUCUUGUAAAUAUGCAAAAAUUUAUACCUUGCUCUUGCUCAUUUCCUCUUCUUUUAUUUUUUUCAAUUUGCAAUAAUUUCUUUUUUGAGUAAGUGUGAAAAAUAUUUAUCUUUCCUUUUUUUUUUCUUUUUUCUUAUUUUCAUUCCCUAUCAAUUAGAUCCAAAAAAAUAUCUUUCUCAUUUUCUCUUUUAUUUUUAGUAUGGACUUCGAGCCUGCCAUAUUUUAACAUGGGCUCCUGUUUCUUUUAAUGGAGCUUUGAGUCCACAUUGUCAUAUCAGAUGGAGACCAAAUUAAUGCUAUAAUCAAACCUUGUCUAAGACCCCAUCCAAAUCGGGCCGGGUGGAUAAUCCAUUCUUUGAACAGAUAUAAACGUUUGAUUUGAAAAUGAUUAAUUUUGAUACGAUCAAAAUAUGUUUUAUAUAUAUAUAUAGAUCGAUAAAUAGAUAGAUAAAAUAAAAAAACAACUAAUAUCUUUUGUUUUAUAUUUUCCAUAAUCCAGCAAUAUCCUUCACGUCUCACGAUUUUUUUUGCCUCAUAAUUAACAUAUAAUUGGCAAGCUUACUAGUGCACAUACACUAUAAUUAAUGGUGUGUACAGUGUGAGUCUUCAUUUCCAUUUCUUUAUAUGAAAAAAAAAUCCUCAUUUCCAAUAUCAUCUUUAAAAAUCCGUUUUUUUAUUUUAGUAUCAAAAUAAAAUCAAUCAAUGUGUGCAUUAAUAAAUUGCUUUUAAUUUCAAUAUAAUAACAUGCAUUUCAUUUGUUGCUUAUAAUAAUACCAUAUAAAGAAUGAAAAAUAAAUCAUAGAAAUGUGCAAAUCUUUACAAACAAACUUCAAAAUAUAUAUAAAAAAAAAAAAGAUAAAAUUCUUUAAAUAAAGAAAUUAUUAAGAAAAUAAAAAUAAACUGCCGUUUUAAAUUCUCCCACUUUCUCUCCAAAAGGCAAAAGUGCCUAUAUAUAAGGACACUGGGAUCGUUACAAUUUGCAUUCUCACAAGUAAUGAACAUGGCAUCAAAGCAAAUAGCAAGUCGCCGAGAAGGGGCUGAGAUCUACCAUGGAGCGGCUCUUUGCAAGCAAAAAGAGCAUGAGCUCCUCGAUCACUUCCAUCUGCCAAAAGGGUUGAUGCCUUUGAGCAACCUCCUCGAGGUCGGGUUCAACCGGACCACAGGCUUCAUCUGGCUGAAACAGAACAAGAC
This 26506-nucleotide long non-coding RNA is filed under the name Durio zibethinus. RNAcentral describes it as "long non-coding RNA (DZIB_LNC001248)". Lineage: Eukaryota; Viridiplantae; Streptophyta; Magnoliopsida; Malvales; Malvaceae. The record is from RNAcentral.